GUAACUGCUGAUGGAUCAGGGUCACACAUGGUUGGUGUCUUACGUGAUUUAGAGCCAUCAAAAUUAACAGGAAUAGUUGGAACCAGUGUUUCUACUGAAAAGCAACUUAUUGAGAGUGAGUGCAGAUCUAGUUGUUCUAAAAUAUCUUCACAAUCUGGCCCACAGCAUAAUUCUGAGGAUUCUCUUCAUUUGCGCCUUAGUCCAUCUUUUCAUUCUUUUAACAGUCAGGAACCUUCUAGUUCAUCUGCUAAUAAAGACUCCCAGACUGCUAUUCCUAAUAUUAGCUUCCCUAAAGGAUUGUUAUCAGCAGGCAACACUGUUAACCCUAGAAUCAUGUUUGAGACUAUCAUCAAAUGGUUCAGAUUUUAUGGUU
This 373-nucleotide unclassified non-coding RNA is filed under the name Hevea brasiliensis (rubber tree). Lineage: Eukaryota; Viridiplantae; Streptophyta; Magnoliopsida; Malpighiales; Euphorbiaceae. The record is from RNAcentral.